GGAGGUAUAGCUCAGCGGUAGAGCGGCAGAUUGCAGUUACUCACGCGGUUAUCUGAUGGUCACGUGUUCGAUCCACGUUACCUCCU
Sporormia fimetaria CBS 119925 is the source of this 86-nucleotide non-coding RNA. The record is from the annotation of a GenBank genome assembly. Lineage: Eukaryota; Fungi; Ascomycota; Dothideomycetes; Pleosporales; Sporormiaceae.